UGAUAUGUUUGAUAUUUGGUUGUUAACUUCUAUCCAACCAAUAUAUCAAACAUAUGAUC
RNAcentral lists this microRNA precursor (59 nucleotides) under Branchiostoma floridae (Florida lancelet). Its description in RNAcentral is "Bfl-Mir-190_pre stem-loop". The record is from RNAcentral. Lineage: Eukaryota; Metazoa; Chordata; Leptocardii; Amphioxiformes; Branchiostomatidae. RNAcentral also lists the same sequence under 1 other name.